Misgurnus anguillicaudatus (oriental weatherfish) is the source of this 275-nucleotide long non-coding RNA. RefSeq lists it as uncharacterized. The record is from RefSeq and is a predicted model, not a curated record. NCBI's taxonomy places the organism in Eukaryota, Metazoa, Chordata, Actinopteri, Cypriniformes, Cobitidae.
UCGUCACUACGGCUCCUUUGUUAGCGAUUAAUGAGGCCAACUUUUGUUUUGUUCUCCAGGUUUUCCUGAGAAAACUGAUUUCCUCUUUAAGCUGGUUCUCAUCAAGUAACACUUCCACCUUUGAAGAGAGAUCAUAUAGGGCAACGUCGACGUUGUGCACUUUCUGAAGACGGCUGAUGGCGGGUAUCCGGAGCUUUCUAGACAAAGUCCAGUCUAGAGUGAAGAGCUCCAUAACACGCCUGUGGAUAAAAAAAUGAAAACAUUAAGUGAUUUAC